GUUUCCGUAGUGUAGUGGUUAUCACGUGUGCUUCACACGCACAAGGUCCUGGGUUCGAACCCCAGCGGAAACA
Molecule: transfer RNA, 73 nt
Filed under: Actinia tenebrosa (Australian red waratah sea anemone)
Lineage: Eukaryota; Metazoa; Cnidaria; Anthozoa; Actiniaria; Actiniidae
Description: tRNA-Val
Rfam family: tRNA
About the family: Transfer RNA (tRNA) molecules are approximately 80 nucleotides in length. Their secondary structure includes four short double-helical elements and three loops (D, anti-codon, and T loops).
Source: Rfam by way of RNAcentral